Molecule: ribosomal RNA, 428 nt
Filed under: uncultured bacterium
Lineage: Bacteria
Description: partial 16S ribosomal RNA
Rfam family: Bacterial small subunit ribosomal RNA
Source: RNAcentral
GUAGGGAAUAUUGCGCAAUGGACGAAAGUCUGACGCAGCGACGCCGCGUGAGUGAUGAAGGCCUUAGGGUCGUAAAGCUCUGUUGAAUGGGAAGAAAAAAAUGACGGUACCAUUCGAGGAAGGACCGGCUAACUUCGUGCCAGCAGCCGCGGUAAUACGAGGGGUCCUAGCGUUGUUCGGAAUCAUUGGGCGUAAAGGGUGUGUAGGUGGCCAUGUAAGUCAGGUGUGAAAGCCCCGGGCUCAACCCGGGAAGUGCACUUGAUACUGCGUGGCUUGAGUACCGAAGAGGGUAGUGGAAUUCCAGGUGUAGUGGUGAAAUACGUAGAUAUCAGGUGGAACACCGGAGGCGAAGGCGGGUAACUGGACGAACACUGACACUGAGGCCCGAAAGCGUGGGGAUCAAACAGGAUUAGAAACCCUGGUAGUCC